ACGCUGGCGGCGUGCCUAAUACAUGCAAGUAGAACGCUGAAGGAGGAGCUUGCUUCUCCGGAUGAGUUGCGAACGGGUGAGUAACGCGUAGGUAACCUGCCUGGUAGCGGGGGAUAACUAUUGGAAACGAUAGCUAAUACCGCAUAAGAGUAGAUGUCGCAUGACAUUUGCUUAAAAGGUGCAAUUGCACCACUACCAGAUGGACCUGCGUUGUAUUAGCUAGUUGGUGGGGUAACGGCUCACCAAGGCGACGAUACAUAGCCGACCUGAGAGGGUGAUCGGCCACACUGGGACUGAGACACGGCCCAGACUCCUACGGGAGGCAGCAGUAGGGAAUCUUCGGCGAUGGACGGAAGUCUGACCGAGCAACGCCGCGUGAGUGAAGAAGGUUUUCGGAUCGUAAAGCUCUGUUGUAAGAGAAGAACGAGUGUGAGAGUGGAAAGUUCACACUGUGACGGUAUCUUACCAGAAAGGGACGGCUAACUACGUGCCAGCAGCCGCGGUAAUACGUAGGUCCCGAGCGUUGUCCGGAUUUAUUGGGCGUAAAGCGAGCGCAGGCGGUUAGAUAAGUCUGAAGUUAAAGGCUGUGGCUUAACCAUAGUACGCUUUGGAAACUGUUUAACUUGAGUGCAAGAGGGGAGAGUGGAAUUCCAUGUGUAGCGGUGAAAUGCGUAGAUAUAUGGAGGAACACCGGUGGCGAAAGCGGCUCUCUGGCUUGUAACUGACGCUGAGGCUCGAAAGCGUGGGGAGCAAACAGGAUUAGAUACCCCUGGUAGUCCACGCCGUAAACGAUGAGUGCUAGGUGUUAGACCCUUUCCGGGGUUUAGUGCCGCAGCUAACGCAUUAAGCACUCCGCCUGGGGAGUACGACCGCAAGGUUGAAACUCAAAGGAAUUGACG
Molecule: ribosomal RNA, 899 nt
Filed under: uncultured bacterium
Lineage: Bacteria
Description: bacterial SSU rRNA
Rfam family: Bacterial small subunit ribosomal RNA
Source: RNAcentral